ACGCGAGGAACCUUACCAGGUCUUGACAUCCUCUGACACUCCUAGAGAUAGGACGUUCCCCUUCGGGGGACAGAGUGACAGGUGGUGCAUGGUUGUCGUCAGCUCGUGUCGUGAGAUGUUGGGUUAAGUCCCGCAACGAGCGCAACCCUUGAUCUUAGUUGCCAUCAUUAAGUUGGGCACUCUAAGGUGACUGCCGGUGACAAACCGGAGGAAGGUGGGGAUGACGUCAAAUCAUCAUGCCCCUUAUGACCUGGGCUACACACGUGCUACAAUGGAUGGUACAAAGGGCAGCAAAACCGCGAGGUCGAGCAAAUCCCAUAAAACCAUUCUCAGUUCGGAUUGUAGGCUGCAACUCGCCUACAUGAAGCUGGAAUCGCUAGUAAUCGCGGAUCAGCAUGCCGCGGUGAAUACGUUCCCGGGCCUUGCACACACCGCCCGU
RNAcentral lists this ribosomal RNA (439 nucleotides) under uncultured bacterium. RNAcentral's name for it is "bacterial SSU rRNA". It matches the Rfam family "Bacterial small subunit ribosomal RNA", at positions 959 to 1397 of the family's 1533-position model. The record is from RNAcentral.